AUGUUUGUGUCUGUGUGUAUGUUUGUGUCUGUGUGUGUGUGUGUAUGUGUCUGUGUGUGUGUGUGUGUUUGUCUGUCUGUCUGUACGUGUGUGUAUGUUUGUGUGUGUGUGUGUAUGUCUGUCUCUGUGUGUCUGUGUGUGAGUGUGUCUGUUUCUGUGUGUGUGUGUCUGUGUGAGUGUGUCUGUCUCUGUGUGUGUGUGUCUGUCUGUGCGUGUGUGUGUCUGUCUGUCUGUCUCUGUGUGUGUGUGUCUGUCUCUGUGUGUGUGUCUGUGUGUGUAUGUCUGUCUCUGUGUGUGUGUCUGUGUGUGUGUGAGUGUGUCUGUCUGUCUGUCUCUGUGCGUGUGUGUGUGUCUGUGCGUGUGUGUGUGUCUGUUUGUCUGUCUCUGUGUGUGUGUCUGUCUGUCUGUCUCUGUGUGUGUGUCUGUGUGUGCGUGUGUGUGUCUGUCUGUCUGUCUCUGUGCGUGUGUGUGUGUGUCUGUCUCUGUGUGUGUGUGUGUCUGUGCGUGUGUGUGUGUCUGUUUGUCUGUCUCUGUGUGUGUGUCUGUCUGUCUGUCUCUGUGUGUGUGUGUGUGUGUGUGUCUGUCUGUCUCUGUGUGUGUGUCUGUCUGUCUCUGUGUGUGUGCGUGUGUGUGUCUGUGUUUGUCUGUCUGUCUGUACGUGUGUGUAUGUUUGUGUCUGUGUGUGUGUGUGUCUGUCUGUGUGUGUGUGUGUGUGUGUGUGUAUGUUUGUGUCUGUGUGUGUGUGUGUGUAUGUCUGUCUCUGUGUGUGUGUGUGUAUGUGUGUGUGUCUGUCUCUGUGUGUGUGUGUGUCUGUCUGUGCGUGUGUGUGUGUCUGUCUGUCUCUGUGUGUGUGUGUGUCUGUGCGUGUGUAUGUGUCUGUGUGUGUGUGUGUGUGUGAGUGUGUCUGUCUCUGUGUGUGUGUGUGUCUGUGUGUGUGUCUGUCUGUGUGUGUGUGAGUGUGUCUGUCUCUGUGUGUGUGUGUGUGUGUGUGUGUGUGUGUGUCUGUAUGUGUCCAAUCAUCAAACUGUCUUGAGCUGCUGGACCUUUUCUUGGAAGUUGAAGACGGUUUCGGCCAGACGCUGGACGUAUGGGUCGAGCUUGUAG
Molecule: long non-coding RNA, 1104 nt
Filed under: Carassius auratus (goldfish)
Lineage: Eukaryota; Metazoa; Chordata; Actinopteri; Cypriniformes; Cyprinidae
Description: lncRNA (ENSCARG00000049881.1)
Source: RNAcentral